Molecule: ribosomal RNA, 255 nt
Filed under: uncultured Staphylococcus sp.
Lineage: Bacteria; Bacillati; Bacillota; Bacilli; Caryophanales; Staphylococcaceae
Description: partial 16S ribosomal RNA
Rfam family: Bacterial small subunit ribosomal RNA
Source: RNAcentral
UACGUAGGUGGCAAGCGUUAUCCGGAAUUAUUGGGCGUAAAGCGCGCGUAGGCGGUUUUUUAAGUCUGAUGUGAAAGCCCACGGCUCAACCGUGGAGGGUCAUUGGAAACUGGAAAACUUGAGUGCAGAAGAGGAAAGUGGAAUUCCAUGUGUAGCGGUGAAAUGCGCAGAGAUAUGGAGGAACACCAGUGGCGAAGGCGACUUUCUGGUCUGUAACUGACGCUGAUGUGCGAAAGCGUGGGGAUCAAACAGGAU